AACGAACGCUGGCGGCAGGCCUAACACAUGCAAGUCGAGCGAGACCUUCGGGUCUAGCGGCGGACGGGUUAGUAACGCGUGGGAACGUACCCUUUUCUGCAGGAUAGCCACUGGAAACGGUGAGUAAUACUGCAUACGCCCUUUGGGGGAAAGAUUUAUCGGAGAAGGAUCGGCCCGCGUUAGAUUAGAUAGUUGGUGGGGUAAUGGCCUACCAGGUCUACGAUCUAUAGCUGGUUUGAGAGGAUGAUCAGCAACACUGGGACUGAGACACGGCCCAGACUCCUACGGGAGGCAGCAGUGGGGAAUCUUAGACAAUGGGCGCAAGCCUGAUCUAGCCAUGCCGCGUGAGUGAUGAA
Molecule: ribosomal RNA, 356 nt
Filed under: uncultured bacterium
Lineage: Bacteria
Description: bacterial SSU rRNA
Rfam family: Bacterial small subunit ribosomal RNA
Source: RNAcentral